Oryctolagus cuniculus (rabbit) is the source of this 3983-nucleotide non-coding RNA. NCBI's taxonomy places the organism in Eukaryota, Metazoa, Chordata, Mammalia, Lagomorpha, Leporidae. The record is from RefSeq and is a predicted model, not a curated record.
AUAAAUAAAUACAUAAAUCUACACACACACACUCACACCCAACAACUUGGGAAAUCGAGGGUGAAUGGUUAUUUCCCAUCUCACGCCCUCUGAGACGGCACCUCUGUUGGGGGAGUGGGCAAGAGAUUAGUGGGCUGGGGGUAAGGACUGCCUGGUUUCUGGCUAGACGUUUCAUUUCUUCCUGCAUAUUCCUUCAUUAAUUCACUUAACGUUUAACAACUCCCUCCAUAUUGAACACUGUACUCACCGACAGGGACAAAGAUUGUUAUUAAUUACAGCCGUUUCCAUUUGCUUAGAGCUGAGUGUGGAGUAGGCACUGAACACCCCUGUCACCCUCACAAUAACCCUGGUAUUAGCCCCAAAUGUCAGUUGAAGGCGUUUCAGAAAGGCUAGCAAAUUGCUUAAGGUCACACAGCGAAGAAAAUGUCUGUUUUUUCAUAUGCACCUGCUUCUGUGGAUCCAAAGCCUAGGUACUUUUCACUGAGCCCCAGGGUCUUCCAGGAACCUUGGGGUGGAAGGACCUGUAGACAGAUUGCUCUACUCGGGUUACGAAUAGUUUGGGCCACACCCUCUCCUGUGACGCUCCGCAGGCUCCUCCAUUCCCCCUGAGCCUGCUUCUCCAUUUGUACACCGAGGGAGGACAACCACGCCUUUAAGGCGCCCGGAGCCCGGAGCCCGGAGCCCGGAGCGACAGCCUAGGACCGGCAGUCGCUGGCCCUGCUGGGUCCUCAUCACCCACGUGUGCAGACCCCGGCCAGGGCCCGCGCAGCCUCGGGCGCCGGCUUCCAGGUGGUCCCUCGCCUCCCGACCGUAACUUUCAGAGUCGGGCAGACUAAAUACCCUAGUAUGCCUUCAUAGCUGGGUCCCCGCCGCCACCGAAAGGUCAGGCGUACAGGCCCCGCCCCAAACACCGCGAGAGGACGCCGCGCUAGCAGCCGGGCGGGACUGUCUUCCGGGGUCGGCUGGGCGGACGAGACUCGCGCUGUCGCGAGAUCUCGCGAAACCUCGGGCUUCCAGGCCCCAGGUGCAUUAGCAGGGAGCUGGAUUGGAAGUAGAGCAGCUGGGACUCCAACUGGCACCCAAAUGGGAUCCUGGCACUGCAGACAGCGGCUUAACCUGCUCCGCAACAGCACUGGUCCCUGAUCUUCUUUCUGUCUCUAGUGGAGUUGCUGGAUCUUACGUAUGUUCAGCAUCGCGAGGGAUGGCAGACUGUUUCUCCAAGUGCCUGCACCAUUUUACAUUCCCACCAGCAAGUUCAAAGCACUCAGCAGCCACGGUGCCAUUGUCUGGACGCUCAUUUGCUGAGCUCCAGCAGCUGCCACCAGCCGAGGAAUCAGCAGAAGCUUGGAGAGAGGCCCAGAGGAGACCCUGCCCUGUGCCUUCAGAGGCAGUGCAGCCCUGCGGACACUUUGAUCUUGGACUUCAGCCUCCGGAACCAUGGAACACUAAGUAAAUCAGCCGCUCAGUUGGUGCUGCUUUGUUACGGAAUAUCAGCAGGGAGCUAGAUGGGAAACGGAGAAGCUGAGGCUCCAACCAGCGCUUCCAGUAUGGGAUGUGGGCAUUGAAAGUGGUGGCUUAACCCAUGACAAGGCAAGAUCCUCCCCCCUCCCCCCAAACACAAAGGCUUGCUAUGAUGGUAGCAGUUUAUUCCAAGGCAAAGAGGUAGCAUACAUUUCAUCAGUGACACAGGAUAGCUAAUCCUUACACAGCCUGGGACAUAAUUUGAGAACUAAACAGUGGUUUAGGUGUGGAGAUAGAACUUGUGACUGGGCUGUGUUGUCCUCUCCAGCCCUUCCUAAGAGCUUCCAACCUCCCCGCCAUGAUGGCUACUCAGCAGUAGGGUCUUUCUCUUAUCUUCCUGCUGGCAGACUUUGUCCCCCAUUCACCCUCUUCUCCAAAUGCUGUUUGCCUGUUCAUUGGUUUUGCUUACUCGGAGCUUCUGCUUUGUCACAGCCUCACGGCGUCUUCUACCUGCCACCUCUCUGUGCGUUCGCUCAGUUCCUCCCCUGUCAUCACCUUCCCACCUCUCAUAUCACUUCCAGCUCCACAAGAAAGAGAAUCUGGUUGGUUCAGUUCAGACACCGUCCCUUUGGUCGGUGUCCUGUGUGGGCCACCUCACAGCCUCUGCUUGUUGACUUAGUAAUUGUGCACAGGCCACUGGCCCCCUGCUAGACUGUCCCCACUGGGUAGGUGCCCGAUCCUGGGGAGGAGUGUGGAGGGCAAGGUUGAGUAGUGUACAAACAGCAUGGAGAUGGAGAUCCAUGUUUAAGAAACUGCCUUGGGAAGGAGCAGUGGACAUACCAUGGAUUCUAAGCUUUGGCGUUGGGGUGGGGGGUACCAUUUGUUUCGAGGCUUUUGUCUAGCAACGGUUGAAAAUAAUUCAAAAUUGAGAAUCCUGGUGCUAAGGGAGCGACAGUUUGUGUUACUGGUCAGCGAGAGCAUCUCUUACUUGAAAUAAUGAGUCCUAUAGGUGGUAGAGUUAAUAUUUUUCUUUGUUUUGAGUUUUUAAGAAAGAUUUAUUUAUUUGAAAGGAGAGAGAGGGAGAGAGAGAGGGAUAAUAAACAGAUAUUGUCUGCUGGUGCAUUACCCAAAUCCCUGUAAUAGCUGGGGCUGGGCCAGGCUGAAACCAGAAGCCAGGAACUCCAUCCAGGCUUCCCACAUGGGUGGUAGGAACCCAGGACUUAGCUCGUCUUCUGCUGCCUCCCAACUAUAUUAGAGGAAGCUGGCUGCAAAGCCAAGUAGCUGGGACUCAAACUCUGAUAUGGGAUGUGGGCAACCCAAGCGGCGGCUUAGCCUACCGUGCCACAGUGCCUGCCCCCUUUUCUUUUGGAUAGAGCCAGUUUUAAGAUGAAAUGAAAGAACUGGCUCAUAUCCCGGCCUGACGUAUGGUUGCCCCACUUCUUGUCCCAACAAGGGAGCCAGGAGUCCCCGGAAAAUUCUGUCCCCUGUAACUGUGACGUAGAUAAUCUGGGUUUGGGAGGGAUUCACAGGAAAGUAGCUUAUAAUGUUUGAUUUGACCAUGAAUUAACUGCACAUUUCCUAAAUGAAAUCAGCGAAUCCACUGAGUAACUGUUGAGAUGAUUGUUCUGGAGGCUGGAUAACGCCAGCUACACGUGGGAUUGCAUAUUGAUACAAUCUUUCCUGUUAAAUAGUCCAGUCCUCUCUUUCUCUCUCUCUCUCCCUCCCUUCCUUUUUCUCUAUCUUUCCUUCCCUCUCUUACUCCCUUCCUUUUUCUCUCUCUUUCCUUCCCUCUCUCCUUCCUUCCCCUCCUUCUUCUUUUACAAUAUUUUUCUUUAUAGAAAAAUUAUGGGGGCUGGCACUGUGGCAUAGCUGGUAAAGUCACUGCCUGCAGUGCCAGCAUCCCAUAUGGGUGUUGGUUUGAGUCCUGCUCCAUUUCCAGUCCAGCUCCCUGCUAAUGUGCCUGGGAAAGCAGCAGAAGAUGGCCAAAGUCCUUGGGCCCCUGCACCCUCAUAGGAAUCCUGGAAGAAGCUCCUGGCUCCUGGCUUUGGAUGGGCCCAGCUCCAGCCCGUUGGCAGCCAUUUGGGGAAUGAACCAAAGGAUGGAAGAUCUCUCUCUGCCUCUGCCUCUCUGUAACUCUGCCUUUCAGAUAAAUAAAUAAAUCUUAAAAAAAAGGAAAAAGUAUGAAAUGCAUCAUGUACACUUAAGUGUAUUAAAUAUAUAUGUACAGUUUAAAUAUCUGUAGUUCAUAAACAUCUGUGUUCACACUACUCAGGUUAAGAAACAAAUAUUGGGCUGGGUGUUUGGCCUGUGGGUUAAGUUGCCACCUGGGAUGUGCACAUCCCAUAUCAAGUCCCUGAGUCAAGCUCUGCUUCCAAUCCAGCUCCCUGUUCAUUUGCAGCUUGCACGGCAACAGGUGAUGGCUCAGUAGAUGUGUCCUUGCCACCCACACGGGGGACCCAGAUUGGGUGCCAGGCUCCUGGCUUCAGCUUGUUCCAGCCCUAGCUGUUGUGGCCAUCUGGGGA